This 445-nucleotide long non-coding RNA is filed under the name Cricetulus griseus (Chinese hamster). RNAcentral's name for it is "lncRNA (ENSCGRG00015040750.1)". The record is from RNAcentral. Lineage: Eukaryota; Metazoa; Chordata; Mammalia; Rodentia; Cricetidae.
CGCCUUGGUGUCAUGGUAAUGGGUAAAGUGCUGCAGCGGAAAGAGUGGUGCUGUCCCCUUGUUUCUAACGCAGCUCACUCCACCUCCCGCCACCCUCCUCUUCACCAUUCUGCUGUUCACAGACGUCUAAGUCAUCAUUAAAGUGUGUAACUGCCAAUUUUCUCUUCCUACUGGUAAAGUAUAGGGGGCGUGUUUGGAUUGUUAACUCUGUCAGAGUAGAAAAAUUCAACAGUGAUGCCACCGGCUAGUCACUCUUCAAAGGUAAACUAUUUCUGUUGAUGGCUGCUCCAUUCCUUCAGACCCAGAGGACACUGACACGGGACUGAUAGGACAGUGUGUUUAUUGUGAUGAUGUCCUAUUCACCGACCCUAAGAGGGAACUCUGCAUAAAAACAACACCUACUAACUAUCUUGUUCAUGCUAGAGACUAAUUAUUUCCCUGCCAG